RNAcentral lists this ribosomal RNA (447 nucleotides) under uncultured bacterium. Its description in RNAcentral is "bacterial SSU rRNA". It matches the Rfam family "Bacterial small subunit ribosomal RNA", at positions 329 to 792 of the family's 1533-position model. The record is from RNAcentral.
GGCCAGACUCCUACGGGAGGCAGCAGUGGGGGAUAUUGCACAAUGGGGGGAACCCUGAUGCAGCGACGCCGCGUGGGUGAAGAAGUAUUUCGGUAUGUAAAGCCCUAUCGGCAGGGAAGAAAUUGGACGGUACCUGACUAAGAAGCCCUGGCUAACUACGUGCCAGCAGCCGCGGUAAUACGUAGGGGGCAAGCGUUAUCCGGAUUCACUGGGUGUAAAGGGAGCGUAGACGGCCAUGCAAGCCUGGAGUGAAAGCCCGGGGCCCAACCCCGGGACUGCUCUGGGAACUGUGCGGCUGGAGUGCGGGAGGGGCAGGCGGAAUUCCUGGUGUAGCGGUGAAAUGCGUAGAUAUCAGGAGGAACACCGGCGGCGAAGGCGGCCUGCUGGACCGCGACUGACGUUGAGGCUCGAAAGCGUGGGGAGCAAACAGGAUUAGAUACCCCUGUA